GAUGAACGCUGGCGGCGUGCCUAAUACAUGCAAGUCGAGCGAACGGACGAGAAGCUUGCUUCUCUGAUGUUAGCGGCGGACGGGUGAGUAACACGUGGAUAACCUACCUAUAAGACUGGGAUAACUUCGGGAAACCGUAGCUAAUACCGGAUAAUAUUUUGAACCGCAUGGUUCAAAAGUGAAAGACGGUCUUGCUGUCACUUAUAGAUGGAUCCGCGCUGCAUUAGCUAGUUGGUAAGGUAACGGCUUACCAAGGCAACGAUGCAUAGCCGACCUGAGAGGGUGAUCGGCCACACUGGAACUGAGACACGGUCCAGACUCCUACGGGAGGCAGCAGUAGGGAAUCUUCCGCAAUGGGCGAAAGCCUGACGGAGCAACGCCGCGUGAGUGAUGAAGGUCUUCGGAUCGUAAAACUCUGUUAUUAGGGAAGAACAUAUGUGUAAGUAACUGUGCACAUCUUGGCGGUACCUAAUCAGAAAGCCACGGCUAACUACGUG
This 497-nucleotide ribosomal RNA is filed under the name uncultured bacterium. RNAcentral describes it as "partial 16S ribosomal RNA". It matches the Rfam family "Bacterial small subunit ribosomal RNA", at positions 28 to 507 of the family's 1533-position model. The record is from RNAcentral.